Molecule: ribosomal RNA, 403 nt
Filed under: uncultured bacterium
Lineage: Bacteria
Description: bacterial SSU rRNA
Rfam family: Bacterial small subunit ribosomal RNA
Source: RNAcentral
AGGGAAUAUUGGGCAAUGGGCGCAAGCCUGACCCAGCAACGCCGCGUGAGGGAAGAAGGUUUUCGGAUUGUAAACCUCUGUCCUAUGUGACGAAGGAAGUGACGGUAGCAUAGGAGGAAGCCCCGGCUAACUACGUGCCAGCAGCCGCGGUAAUACGUAGGGGGCGAGCGUUGUCCGGAAUUACUGGGCGUAAAGGGUGCGUAGGCGGUUUGGUAAGUUGGAUGUGAAAUACCCGGGCUUAACUUGGGGGCUGCAUCCAAUACUGUCGGACUUGAGUGCAGGAGAGGAAAGCGGAAUUCCUAGUGUAGCGGUGAAAUGCGUAGAUAUUAGGAGGAACACCGGUGGCGAAGGCGGCUUCCUGGACUGUAACUGACGCUGAGGCACGAAAGCGUGGGGAGCAAAC